GGGGGCGACUGGUUUCGACAUACUAGGUUUGAUAGAGGAAGCAGGUCGUGGUCUCCUCGCCACGUUAAACAGGGGUACAGUCAAUUUAAUUGGCAAACAGCAAUACGCACUCGCCGCCUAAUAGUGCUGCGACGUCAACCAGGUGUUUUUCUCCGCCACCUGCAAGACGCAACUCAGGGGAAUGCUCUGCUUGACGUAGUUGGUAUGCAAGCAGAAAAGAUUGAACCAGCUGGAGCUGGGCACGCAUGUUUGUAAGCCAGCCCAGACUUGAGAUUUGAUUACAGACUAAGCUUGUAGAUGCCUCUAAAGGAUUUAGUAUGGACCGGAGUUCGAUUCUCCGCGCCUCCACCA
RNAcentral lists this transfer-messenger RNA (351 nucleotides) under Actinomycetota bacterium. It matches the Rfam family "transfer-messenger RNA". Rfam says of the family: Bacterial tmRNA, also known as 10Sa RNA or SsrA, is named for its dual tRNA and mRNA-like properties. The record is from RNAcentral. Lineage: Bacteria; Bacillati; Actinomycetota.